AAUAUCUCUCCCUAAUCUCAGCUAGGAAUUCCAUUUCUUUUGAUUUUAUUUAAAAGGAGUGGAAUAACCAAGAAAAAGAAAGGAAGAGAAGAAGAGAAAGAUAAAGAGAGAGAAAGUGAGAGGAUGAACGCAUCCUCUGUUUUUGUUUAUGUAUAAUCUUUUUAGAUCUUGGUUCAAACCAAUUUUCCCAUCUGGGUUCUCUCUUUUGAAUGGAUUGUAAGAUUGAAUCUUGAUUGAUGAAUGAAGGAUCCAAUGAUUUUAAAAUAAAUCCAAUACUUCCCACUUGUUAUUUUAUCAGAGUGUGAGCUUGGGUUCCUGCCUGAUUUUCUGGAUAAGUUCAUCUUCUUGUUGAAUUGAUUCACACAUUUGUAGGAUCUGGCUGUUCUUAGUGAUUAUAAAAAAGAUGGAGUCGGAUCUAGGUAAGCUAUUUAUUGGUGGGAUUUCUUGGGACACAGAUGAGGAUCGACUGAAAGAAUAUUUUGGAGCAUAUGGAGAACUGGUGGAAGCAGUGAUCAUGAGAGAUCGCACCACAGGCCGUGCUCGUGGCUUUGCGUUUGUAGUUUUUGCCGAUCCUGCAGUGGCUGAAAGAGUGGUUAAGGAGAAACACAUGAUUGAUGGAAGAAC
Olea europaea var. sylvestris is the source of this 624-nucleotide long non-coding RNA. RefSeq lists it as uncharacterized. The transcript is spliced from 4 exons. The record is from RefSeq and is a predicted model, not a curated record. Lineage: Eukaryota; Viridiplantae; Streptophyta; Magnoliopsida; Lamiales; Oleaceae.